GACGUAGGGCGCGAGCGUUGUCCGGAAUUAUUGGGCGUAAAGAGCUCGUAGGCGGCUUGUCGCGUCGACUGUGAAAACCCGUGGCUCAACCAUGCGGUCUGCAGUCGAUACGGGCAGGCUAGAGUUCGGUAGGGGAGACUGGAAUUCCUGGUGUAGCGGUGAAAUGCGCAGAUAUCAGGAGGAACACCGGUGGCGAAGGCGGGUCUCUGGGCCGAAACUGACGCUGAGAAACGAAAGCCAGGGUAGCAAACGGG
Molecule: ribosomal RNA, 254 nt
Filed under: uncultured bacterium
Lineage: Bacteria
Description: partial 16S ribosomal RNA
Rfam family: Bacterial small subunit ribosomal RNA
Source: RNAcentral